CAGUAGCCGCGGGAAUACAGAGGGUGCGAGCGUUAAUCGGAUUUACUGGGCGUAAAGCGUGCGUAGGCGGCUUUUUAAGUCGGAUGUGAAAUCCCUGAGCUUAACUUAGGAAUUGCAUUCGAUACUGGGAAGCUAGAGUAUGGGAGAGGAUGGUAGAAUUCCAGGUGUAGCGGUGAAAUGCGUAGAGAUCUGGAGGAAUACCGAUGGCGAAGGCAGCCAUCUGGCCUAAUACUGACGCUGAGGUACGAAAGCAUGGGAAGCAAACAGGAUUAGAGACCCCCGUAGUCCCUGUCUCUUAUAC
RNAcentral lists this ribosomal RNA (301 nucleotides) under uncultured bacterium. Its description in RNAcentral is "partial 16S ribosomal RNA". It matches the Rfam family "Bacterial small subunit ribosomal RNA", at positions 509 to 807 of the family's 1533-position model. The record is from RNAcentral.